GAUGAACGCUGGCGGCGUGCCUAAUACAUGCAAGUCGAGCGAACAGAUAAGGAGCUUGCUCCUUUGACGUUAGCGGCGGACGGGUGAGUAACACGUGGGUAACCUACCUAUAAGACUGGGAUAACUUCGGGAAACCGGAGCUAAUACCGGAUAAUAUUUCGAACCGCAUGGUUCGAUAGUGAAAGAUGGUUUUGCUAUCACUUAUAGAUGGACCCGCGCCGUAUUAGCUAGUUGGUAAGGUAACGGCUUACCAAGGCGACGAUACGUAGCCGACCUGAGAGGGUGAUCGGCCACACUGGAACUGAGACACGGUCCAGACUCCUACGGGAGGCAGCAGUAGGGAAUCUUCCGCAAUGGGCGAAAGCCUGACGGAGCAACGCCGCGUGAGUGAUGAAGGUCUUCGGAUCGUAAAACUCUGUUAUUAGGGAAGAACAUACGUGUAAGUAACUGUGCACGUCUUGACGGUACCUAAUCAGAAAGUCACGGCUAACUACGAG
This 497-nucleotide ribosomal RNA is filed under the name uncultured bacterium. RNAcentral describes it as "partial 16S ribosomal RNA". It matches the Rfam family "Bacterial small subunit ribosomal RNA", at positions 28 to 507 of the family's 1533-position model. The record is from RNAcentral.